GAAAACCAUUAGUAUAGUUGUGACAGACCAAGCUGUAAGGUUGCGUUCAGCAUGUUGCGUCUGAUGAGGGCUGAAGUGAAGUAAGCCGAAACGCGUAACGCAAAAUAUGCUGUUUUUGUCUGUUGUCACCGAGAAAAGCCAAUAUAUAAUAUCAAA
RNAcentral lists this long non-coding RNA (156 nucleotides) under Aedes aegypti (yellow fever mosquito). RNAcentral's name for it is "lncRNA AAEL023163". Lineage: Eukaryota; Metazoa; Arthropoda; Insecta; Diptera; Culicidae. The record is from RNAcentral.